GAUUUUAUGGCUCAGAUGGCUAGAGCGCCGGACUGUCAAUUCGGAGGUCACGGGUUCGAUUCCCGUUAAAAUCG
RNAcentral lists this transfer RNA (74 nucleotides) under Microscilla marina ATCC 23134. It matches the Rfam family "tRNA". Rfam says of the family: Transfer RNA (tRNA) molecules are approximately 80 nucleotides in length. Lineage: Bacteria; Pseudomonadati; Bacteroidota; Cytophagia; Cytophagales; Microscillaceae. The record is from Rfam by way of RNAcentral.